UGGGGAAUCUUGCGCAAUGCGCGAAAGCGUGACGCAGCAACGCCGCGUGAGGGAAGAAGGCCUUCGGGUUGUAAACCUCUUUCAGUUGGGACGAAGUGUGGGCGGUGAACAGCCGUUCCACAUGACGGUACCUUCACAAGAAGCCCCGGCUAACUACGUGCCAGCAGCCGCGGUAAUACGUAGGGGGCAAGCGUUGUCCGGAAUCAUUGGGCGUAAAGAGCGCGUAGGCGGCCCUGUAAGUCCGCUGUGAAAGUCAAGGGCUCAACCCUUGGAUGCCGGUGGAUACUGCAGGGCUAGAGUCCGGAAGAGGCGAGUGGAAUUCCUGGUGUAGCGGUGAAAUGCGCAGAUAUCAGGAGGAACACCGAUGGCGAAGGCAGCUCGCUGGGACGGUACUGACGCUGAGGCGCGAAAGCGUGGGGAGCAAAACA
RNAcentral lists this ribosomal RNA (428 nucleotides) under uncultured Solirubrobacterales bacterium. RNAcentral's name for it is "bacterial SSU rRNA". It matches the Rfam family "Bacterial small subunit ribosomal RNA", at positions 355 to 775 of the family's 1533-position model. The record is from RNAcentral. Lineage: Bacteria; Bacillati; Actinomycetota; Thermoleophilia; Solirubrobacterales.